Molecule: RNA transcript, 3516 nt
Organism: Rhinolophus ferrumequinum (greater horseshoe bat)
Lineage: Eukaryota; Metazoa; Chordata; Mammalia; Chiroptera; Rhinolophidae
Gene: P2RX5
Gene name: purinergic receptor P2X 5
Exons: 13
Source: RefSeq, a predicted model, not a curated record
CAAGCCAGUGGCGGGGCUGACGGUCCGCUGGUGUCACGGUGUCAAUUCAGGGGGGAGGAAGAGGUGGCGGCAAGGUCGCAGUCCGCGACUCGGCACUGCCCCCGCCCAGCUUCCCGCGGGGCUUUCUCUGCCUGUCCAGCAACCAGUGCUGCCCGCAGCACUCGGCAUCUGCCUGCCCGCCUGCCCGCCCGGGCACGUUGCAGCCGCGCACAGGGGCCACCGCCGCGUGCAGAAAGCGUCCAGGGCCAGGCCUCCGGACACGCGCGGAGGCGGCGAGCGAGGGGCGGUUCCUAUGCGGCACAUGUGUGGCGGCGCGGUCCCCAGGCCCAGGUGAGAGCGGUAUGGGGCAGGCGGGCUGCAAGAGGCUCUCCCAGUCGCUGUUCGACUACAAGACCGAGAAGUAUGUUAUCGCCAAGAACAAGAAAGUGGGCCUGCUCUACCGGCUGCUGCAGGUCUCCAUCCUGACCUACCUGGUGGUUUGGGUGUUCCUGGUGAAGAAGGGUUACCAAGACAUCGACACCUCCCUACAGAGCAGCGUCAUCACCAAAGUCAAGGGUGUGACCUUCACCAACACCUCGGAGCUCGGGGAGCGGCUCUGGGAUGUUGCCGACUACGUCAUCCCACCCCAGGGAGAGAACAUCUUCUUCAUCAUCACCAACCUGAUCGUGACCCCUAACCAGCGACAGGAAACCUGUGCUGAGAGUGAAAGCAUUCCUAAUGCUGUGUGCUAUGAAGACAGCGACUGCCCUCCUGGGGAGCCUAUUAUGGCUGGAAAUGGAGUGAGGACAGGCCGCUGCCUGCAGUCAGGGAACACGCAAAGGGGCACGUGCGAGAUCUUCGCCUGGUGCCCAGUGGAGACGAAGUCCAGGCCAGAGAAACCACUCCUGGGCAAAGCUGAAGACUUUACCAUUUACAUAAAGAACUUCAUUCAUUUCCCCAAAUUCAACUUCUCCAAGACCAAUGUGCUGGACACCAAAGACAGAGAUUUCCUGAAGUCUUGUCGAUUUGACCCCAAGAACCCCUACUGCCCCAUCUUCCGACUGGGCUCUGUGGUCAGCUGGACCGGGAGCAACUUCCAGGAGAUAGCCCUGCAGGGUGGUGUGAUAGGAAUUCAGAUUGAGUGGAACUGUGAUCUUGAUAAAGCUCCUUCGGAAUGCAACCCACGCUAUUAUUUUAGCCGUCUGGACAGCAGAUUUCCAGGAAACUCUGUUUCUUCUGGGUACAACUUCAGGUUUGCCAAAUAUUACCGAGAUGAAGCGGGGGUGGAGUUCCGCACGCUGAUGAAAGCCUACGGGAUCCGCUUUGAUGUCAUGGUGAAUGGCAGGGCUGGGAAGUUCAGUAUCAUCCCCACAAUCAUCAACGUGGCCUCAGGGGUGGCGCUCAUGGGUGUUGACAUGUCACUCUGUGUCAUAAUUUCUAUGCUCGUCUCCGGCACCAGAGGGAGAGUCCCCAGAGGGUCUCAUUGUCUGGCACGUGGGGUCUUUCUUCUGUGAUCUGGUGCUCAUCUACUUCAUCAAAAAGAGCAACUUUUACCGGAACAAGAAGUAUGAGGAAGCAAGGUCUGGCCACGCGGGGAAUGGAAAGGUGAGUGUGGAGCAGCUGCAGGACCUGCAGACGGUGGAGGCAUAGCCAGAGGCGUUGGCUGAAAGCAGAUCUGGUGACGAUGUUGGGGGCAGAACCGCCUGCAGCUCUGGACUGGGAAGCCAUCCUUAUACCUGCAUAGGACAGGUGCUUCCAGGCAUGGCCGUCUCUUCUGCGUUUUGGGAUCUUUCUACAAGCUUUUUGUUGUGUGUGGGGGGAGGGGAACCUCCCAGUGGCCAGAGUGGCUCAGCUCUAGAAGAGGAGACCCUGGAGAGGGAAGGGGGCAGGCCAGGGGCCUGAGGGAUCCUAGUGUUUUCAUGUUUUUCUGAGAACCUAGUUGGACUUUCAUUCAUUCAUUCAUGCAGUAAACAUUUUUUUUGCUGUGGGCUGGGUCCUAUCUAAGAGAUGCUUAAAUAAGACACUGACCUGGUCCUCAGGGAGGAGAGCACACAUGCAAUUCCCUCCAGAGCCAACAGACAUCACAGCCAGGCUCAGCCACUCUAGUCUUCCUCCGGCAUCUACCUAAGACUUGCACAAAUCCCUGCCGAGAAUGAUGGCUCCUCAAAGAAAGAACUUGGCCGACAUCCAAGGGGACAUUUUGGACUCACCCCUAGGGAUUCAAUUUAAAGGUGGCUAAGGAGGCAACCAGGGGAGGGCUGUACCUGUCAGGAGGCAGCUGGCCCUUGAGGGGAGAGGCAGCCUCCUAGGGCUUCUGGGAAAGGCGGGUAAGAGGAGGCAGGGAGGCUCUGCUCCAGUCUGACUCACCCACCUCGGGAGGCUCUGGGCAUAGCGUCUCAUCCAGAUGGGGGACCAUGGCCUGUGGUUUGGCUCUGGCAGCUCUGUGGGCUUGGGUGUCCCUGCCCAGCUUCCCUCUCUCCUCAAAGGCUAGAGCUGAAGCGCCAAGGCGAUGAGUCUCACUCAGCAGGUAGAAGCAGGGUCGUUAGGCCCAAACUGUUAGGGAGUCCCUCACCCCCUCCCCCAUCUUUCUCCACUCUCCCUGGAGGACUCCACUGCUUCCCUCCCUUAGCGGCUGGAGAGCCUUGCGGCUCCACAGGUGGUCCGUGAAUCACAGCAUCUGCAUCACUUGGGAACUUGUUAGAUGUGCCGUCUUGGCCCCUCCCUUGUUCUCCGAAAUCAGAGCCUGAGUUUCAACAAGACUCCCAGGUGAUGGUUCACGUUUGAGAAACACCGGUUGAGGGGAUCAGCAAAGCUGGUUCUGAGGGAGGUAAAGGCCACCUUUGGUGGGUGCUGCCAAUUUCUAGGUCAGACUUACCUUCUACCUUGAGACUGAGAGGAUGCCCCUCCCCCACCUCCCACCCCCGCCCCAGGGAAAAGAGCAUCACACUCAGUUUAUUGAAAUGAAAAUAUUUUGACUAGAUAAUAUUUAUAUGAUUCAAAAUUUAAAAGGUACAAAAGAAUAGACAGUGAAGAGCUCCCCUCCCACUCCUGUUCCCCAAGGCAGCCUGUUACUGAUUCCAAAACAACUUCUUGUGUUUUGCUGAGAAUCCACUUAGUUACUCACUCUCUCAGGAAAUCAACUUUUCCCAGUGCCUGCAUCGUCAGACCAAGUCUCUGCCAGAAAGGGACACGAUGGAAUAGGCUUAAAGCCUGGGUUGGGGGCCUAUUAGCCCGCUUCUCCCUCUCCCAGUGUCUGAGGAAUCCCUGCGUAAACCCAAGGGGACAGAUCUAGAAGUCACUGUGUGAGCCUCCCAGGCAGCAAAGGCCUAGCAAGCCCCAGUGCUGUUUGCAUAGCUGCCGGGUCACGCUAGGGAGUGUCCUCUUUGGAAGGCUCUUUGGGCCUCCUUUAAGUCAGAGGAGCCUGGUUCUCCACUGCGUACAGAGGAGCUAAGCAUCCUUGCCCUGGAGCUUUUGGAGAAGGUGUGGGGACAGAGGCCCAGAGAGCAGUUUCCAGGCUCUCGGCCUCACGUGGAAAGG